AUGGGCAAUAUAUUUGAUAAUAUCUCAAUUUACAGAUGGCUUUUUGAGCUUGGAGCAUGUAACAGUGCAAGAAAGAUGAAAUUUAUAUAGAACUGCUUCAGAAGAUACAUUAAAAGGGAUUAACACGAACAAGAAUAGGAAUUUGAAAUAUAGCAAGUAUAUGUGAGGAUUAUGAACCAAACACCAUGCUUCUGAUUCUUAAUUAGUGUAAGGGGUGGAAUGGUGUAUCAUUGAAGUUUGGUUAAAUUCACUCAUAGUCCCUCAAUUUAAAUGAUUG
RNAcentral lists this unclassified non-coding RNA (277 nucleotides) under Hevea brasiliensis (rubber tree). Lineage: Eukaryota; Viridiplantae; Streptophyta; Magnoliopsida; Malpighiales; Euphorbiaceae. The record is from RNAcentral.